Molecule: non-coding RNA, 114 nt
Organism: Acanthosepion pharaonis
Lineage: Eukaryota; Metazoa; Mollusca; Cephalopoda; Sepiida; Sepiidae
Source: the annotation of a GenBank genome assembly
UUACGGUCAUAUCACUUUGAAGCACCUGUCGCCGUACGAUCGCCGAAGUUAAGCAACCGCGAUCCUGGUCCGUGCCUAGAUGGGUGACUGCUUGUGAAUACCAAGUGCUGUAAG